Molecule: long non-coding RNA, 809 nt
Organism: Medicago truncatula (barrel medic)
Lineage: Eukaryota; Viridiplantae; Streptophyta; Magnoliopsida; Fabales; Fabaceae
Exons: 4
Source: RefSeq, a predicted model, not a curated record
UUUUCUAUUGGUAUUUGUUCAAUGUGAAAAUGGGGUGGAGAAAGAGAGAUAGAGGCCACCCUCCAAUGGUGGCCUAAAUACAUAUCCUAACCGAAGUCAAACAAAAUGAUGGAAGAAGAGAAAUGUUGUGCCAAUGGAAGGGGUGGAGAGGUUUGAAUACUAUUGUUAAACUCUACUCUUAUUAUGUAUGUUUCAACCACCAUUUUUAUUUUCCUCUUUUUUUUUGUGGACAUUGAUUGAGAGUGUGGUGUCAAUUGAGAUGAUGAACACAUCUUACACUUUGACGAUGAACUCUAUAUUUAACAAUUUUGAUUUCUGUAUUGAAGAGUGCUAGGUUUCUUGAAAAUAUGGAAAUAUGGAAAUAAAGCCAUAUGGAAAUAUGGAAAUAAGGCAUUAGAUAGAUCAAAGUACCAAGAGAAGGUGCAAACAAUAUGGAAAUAAAGCCACAUUGAAAAUGCAAAUCAUCAAAAAAAUAGAGGAAAAAAAAUGCAAAUCUUUAGAGCUUUCCCUGGUAUCGGAAGUAUUAGAUACAAAAAGUUUUUAUCCUAUUUCUUGACCUAUGGCUGGAAGAAACAUAGAAACUCUCCUCUCCUAUCACUGCCUGACUGGUCCUCUCUUGAAAAACCCAGUUUCAGAAUAUGAUAAAGCAAUCAACAAGCUACAAAUGAAAUACAGAACAUACAUCGUCGAGUAUGACUUCGAAACUAAGAACCUGAAGAUGUGUGUGCGGGUUGCUCACAUUUGGUUAAUUCCAGAGAAGAAAGUUCCAACUAACAUCAUUUUCAUGAACAUGUUGCUGGUUGAUGCAA